Molecule: ribosomal RNA, 409 nt
Filed under: bacterium
Lineage: Bacteria
Description: partial 16S ribosomal RNA
Rfam family: Bacterial small subunit ribosomal RNA
Source: RNAcentral
UGGGGAAUAUUGCACAAUGGGCGAAAGCCUGAUGCAGCGACGCCGCGUGAGGGAUGACGGCCUUCGGGUUGUAAACCUCUUUCAGCAGGGACGAAGCGCAAGUGACGGUACCUGCAGAAGAAGCACCGGCUAACUACGUGCCAGCAGCCGCGGUAAUACGUAGGGUGCAAGCGUUUUCCGGAAUUACUGGGCGUAAAGAGUUCGUAGGCGGUUUGUCGCGUCGUUUGUGAAAACCAGCAGCUCAACUGCUGGCUUGCAGGCGAUACGGGCAGACUGGAGUACUGCAGGGGAGACUGGAAUUCCUGGUGUAGCGGUGAAAUGCGCAGAUAUCAGGAGGAACACCGGUGGCGAAGGCGGGUCUCUGGGCAGUAACUGACGCUGAGGAACGAAAGCGUGGGUAGCGAACAGG